GCCAAUCCCAUAAAUCUGUUCUCAGUUCGGAUCGCAGUCUGCAACUCGACUGCGUGAAGCUGGAAUCGCUAGUAAUCGCGGAUCAGCAUGCCGCGGUGAAUACGUUCCCGGGCCUUGUACACACCGCCCGUCACACCACGAGAGUUUGCAACACCCGAAGUCGGUGAGGUAACCUUUAUGGAGCCAGCCGCCGAAGGUG
This 199-nucleotide ribosomal RNA is filed under the name Bacillus pumilus. Its description in RNAcentral is "partial 16S ribosomal RNA". It matches the Rfam family "Bacterial small subunit ribosomal RNA", at positions 1267 to 1464 of the family's 1533-position model. The record is from RNAcentral. Lineage: Bacteria; Bacillati; Bacillota; Bacilli; Caryophanales; Bacillaceae.